This 253-nucleotide ribosomal RNA is filed under the name uncultured bacterium. RNAcentral describes it as "partial 16S ribosomal RNA". It matches the Rfam family "Bacterial small subunit ribosomal RNA", at positions 524 to 776 of the family's 1533-position model. The record is from RNAcentral.
UACGGAGGAUCCAAGCGUUAUCCGGAUUUAUUGGGUUUAAAGGGUGCGUAGGCGGCCUAUUAAGUCAGGGGUGAAAGACGGUAGCUUAACUAUCGCAGUGCCUUUGAUACUGAUGGGCUUGAAUGGACUAGAGGUAGGCGGAAUGUGACAAGUAGCGGUGAAAUGCAUAGAUAUGUCACAGAACACCAAUUGCGAAGACAGCUUACUAUGGUUUAAUUGACGCUGAGGCACGAAAGCGUGGGGAUCAAACAGG